GGUGGACAGGUGCGAGCAGUCUUCCCUCCUCACUGUGUCUUCUGCUUCAGAAAGCGACAGCUACUGGUGAUGUGUUCAGGGUCUCGUCCAGUCUCAGCUGUCAGAACAUCCCACCCAGGAGGAUAGGUGGUAUAGAUGAUGGAUGAAUGGACGAUCUUCACAUUGAGGGGCGGAGGGACACAGUGGCACUACCAAGGAGUCCCUGCAACACAGCAACACACAAGAGGUGUGGAGGGGCCUGAAAACCAUGUCUGGCCAGUGGGGAGAUGAUAAGAGGGACCCUGAAUCUGGAGACCUGGAGCAGGCAAAUGAUCUAAAUCUAGUCUUCAACGCGUUUAUUUUUUUCCCCCAAUUGCUGCCCACUGCUCCUGCACCCGGCUUUUGUGUAAUGGUGUGUAAAAAGGAUGGGUUACAUGCAGAGCCCAAAUUCACUAUCAAUA
Molecule: long non-coding RNA, 440 nt
Organism: Solea senegalensis (Senegalese sole)
Lineage: Eukaryota; Metazoa; Chordata; Actinopteri; Pleuronectiformes; Soleidae
Exons: 3
Source: RefSeq, a predicted model, not a curated record